GGCGGGACCAGGUGGGACCAGGUGUGUCCAGGUGAGCUCCAGGUGAGCUCCAGGGUUUGGUGUGACCAUGGCAAUGCAGAACAGAGCGACCCGGAAGUUCUCGGGGGGAUGGAGGAUGAGGGUCAGCCUGGCCAGGUGAGACCAGGUGGGAUCAGGUGAUCCUAGAUGGGUUUAGAUGGACUCCAGGUGAGACCAGGUGGGACCAGGUGGGCUCAGGUGGGUUUAGAUGGGCUCCAGGUGUGUCCAGGUGUGCCCAGGUGAGCUCCAGGUGAGCUCCAGGGUUUGGUGUGACCAUGGCAAUGCAGAACAGAGCGACCCGGAAGUUCUCAGGGGGAUGGAGGAUGAGGGUCAGCCUGGCCAGGUGAGACCAGGGGGCACCAGGUGGGACCAGGUGGGACCAGGUGGGUUCAGGUGGGUUCAGAUGAGCUCCAGGUGGGACCAGGUGGGUUUAGAUGGGCUCCAGGUGGGACCAGGUGGGUUUAGAUGGGCUCCAGAUGAGCUCCAGGUGGGACCAGGUUGGGUUUCACCAUUUGAAUGCAGACCCAGAAGUUCUUGGAGGGAUGGGGGAUGAGGACUCACCUGGCCAGGUGUGCCCAGGUGUGCCCAGGUACCCCCAGGUGCCCUCAAGCGCCUCCAGGUCUAUCCCAGGUGUAUCCCAGCCCCCCCAGCUGUGCCCAGGUGUGUCAUAGCCACACCCAGCUGUGCCCAGGUGCCCCCAGCUGGGCCCAGGUGUAACCCAGGUGUGCCCAGGUACCCCCAGGUGUAUCUCGGGUGUAACCCAGGUGUAACCCAGGUGUAACCCCAAUUUAACCCCGGUGUAACUCCGGUGUAUCCCAGGUGUAACCCCAGUGUCACCCCAAUUUAACCCUGGUGUAACCCCGGAGUAACCCCGUUGUAACCCAGGUGUAUCCCCAAUUUAACCCAGGUGUAUCCCCAAUUUAACCCCGGUGUAACCCCGGUGUAACCCCGAUUUAACCCUGGUGUAACCCCGAUUUAACCCCGGUGUAACCCAG
Molecule: long non-coding RNA, 1013 nt
Filed under: Zonotrichia albicollis (white-throated sparrow)
Lineage: Eukaryota; Metazoa; Chordata; Aves; Passeriformes; Passerellidae
Description: lncRNA (ENSZALG00000002190.1)
Source: RNAcentral